This 4223-nucleotide unclassified non-coding RNA is filed under the name Leishmania donovani. The record is from RNAcentral. Lineage: Eukaryota; Euglenozoa; Kinetoplastea; Trypanosomatida; Trypanosomatidae.
CCUUCGACCCGACACACGACACACAUAUAUAUGUACAAAAUACGUAGAACAGGGAGGAUAAGCAACGCGCGCAAAUUCAUUCUCGAAGAGACAAGAACAGCCAAACCGCAGAGGCCACAUCCGCGGGCCGUACGACAAUCAUUUACUGGUGUUCUGCUGCUGCUCUCUCUCGCUCUACACAUCUAUAUCUACCUAUACCUACCUACCUACGUCUAUUGAGAGAAAGAGGUAUAUGCGUAUAUAGUCCUAUAGGCGUACCUAUAUAUAUAUAUAUAUUGGCCUGCAGCUGUCUACCUGUCUCCCUCGCCGUAGCCCCCACCCCCCACCCCACCCCCUUUCGCACCUCCGCUUGAACUUGUUGUUGUUCUCGCUUUCGCCCGCUUUUGCGUUUGACGUCGCGGCCGUGUCAUCGCUGCUGUUGCCGGCGUGGCCGGGCCGUUCUUUUUUGGAUUAACUGGUAGAUUGUGUGGGGCCGAGGGAGGUGGAUCUCGUUCGCCUUCCUCCCGUUUCUCGGAUUCUCUGCGAGGCUGUGCAGUCGACCUUAGGCGCGUGGGCGUGUGGAGAACUGUCGCGCUCAGUCUGGUUGUUUAUGUUGUCGUUGUUGGUGCCUUUUCUUUGAUCGUGUCGCCCAGUGCUUCGUGUGACUCUUCUGUCUGCUGUGUCCGUCAUUGAGGCAGUGAGCGUGUUGUUGUCGCCAUUGGGUGUUGAGCCCGGCGUCUUCUCUCAUUUCUUUCUAAUCUGCCACUCCUCUCAGCUACGUCUUCGUCUCCUCACCAUCUCGCGCGCGCUUCUUUCCAAGACAAGCAAGUAGCCAUACACCACUUGCAGGCGCACGCACAACCACAGACAUCUACACCAGAAGAAGGUAGCCACACGAGUAGCCUCAGCAGCAGCGGCAGCAGUCACGUCGCGACAGUCCCCGCGCCCUCCCUCUCUCGCUCCCGCAGAUACGCAGCGGCUCACUGCGUCGCCUCCAACAUCCUUCCUCUCCCCCUCCCAGAUUAUCUCUCACCAGGGCUUCUUCGCUGUUCUCCCACCACCAACACCACCCUCCAGGGCAAGUCUCUCUCACGAGUGCAGCACCUGCUGAGAAGCACGCCAGCUGGCUGGCUCCCCCCUUCCCCUUUCCUCUCUCACACGGUAUACCUCGUCGUUGUGGAGGCUUCACCGCGAAGGCCGCACGAGCAAAAUGGCGAACCGCUUUAACCCGCAUCAGCACCCGAUGCAACAGCCCGGUGAUGGCAACCAGCCGCAGUCCUUCUUCUACCACCCCGCAAGCACACAGCAGCAGCAGGUUUAUCAGGGCUAUCCCCAAGGCUUUCCGCCGCUGCACCUCAUGGCGCCGCAGCAGCAGAUGCAGUUCUUGCAGACCCUCAACGAAGCGCAGCGUCGUCAGGCGCUGCAACAGCAGCAGCAGCAGCAGCAACAACAGCAAGAGAUGAAGAACCGCGCUGGCGGUGGCCUUGCACAGCAGCAGCAGCAGCAGCAGCAGCAGCAGCACCCCGGCUUUACUCGCCUGUCGGCCGCUGAGCUGCUGCUGCUUCAGCAGCAGCAACAGCAGCAGCAGCAGCAAAAUCAAGAACGGGAGCUGAGGCAGCGACUUGGUCUGCCGGAAGGCGCGAUGUUGGCCAACUACGGUGGGAACGCGAACAACGCGACGGCUGCAAACAACUUCCUCGCCAAUAUAACACUAGCCCAGAUGCGCCAGCAGCAGCAGCAACAGCAACAAUAUCAGCAGCAGCUCUCUCAGUUACAAUCCCAGCAGCAGCAGCAGCAGCAGCAGCAGAGCACGCAGCAGCAACAGCUGGCUGCUCUGAUGGCAGCCGGUAAGGUCGGUGCAGGCACUGCGGCACCCACUGCUGGUAUGGGCGGCGCCGGUGCGAUGAUGCUGCUCUCCAGCGCUGUCGGACCCCAACUCGACCCCGCAAUUGCUGCCGCGUCCCCAGCGAUGCAGCAGCAACCUGGGACCGCUGCCGGCCCCGGCAACUCCAGCGCAGUCCCCGCCGCAGCAACAUCGGUGGCGCCACCUGCUGCAGGUCCCGCCGCCGCCGGCACCGGGCCCGCAGCCGCCGCAGCAGCAGCCACGGGGAAGGGAAAGAUAGAGGUGGACGACGAAUACGGCCUGAAGCAGCUGGUGAAGGUGGUGCAGCCACCGCUGCCCAUGGCCACCACGCCGUACGUGCCGUCCGCGGAUGAGCCGACAGACCCGGUGUCUGGGCGGCCGAUCAGCCAGCAGGACGCCGACGAGCUAAACUUCACCUUUAUCACCCGUGGGGUUGAUAUCACGCAAAUUGGCCUCUCGGUGACGGAGGAGGGGUGGCUGCACACGACCCUCGCCACGCUGCCGCUCGACUCGUACGAGUACUACAUCCUGCCCGAGUUCAAGAUCCCGGACAGCUACAAGAAGCCGCGGCCCAAGUCCCUCUCCAUGAAGUCAUUCCAUCAGUUCAAGGAGGAAACCCUCUUUUACAUCUUCUACAGCAUGCCGCGUGAUGUGCUGCACCUGGCCGCGGCCCGCGCACUUUACGAGCGUGGCUGGCGGUACAACAAGCGUGCCCAGCACUGGUUGCACCCCGUGAAGGCGGACGACGGGUCCCUCAUGGAGAAGACCACGACGGGGCCGGACGGGCAGAAGAUCUUCACCGGCACGUACACCGUCUUUCAGCCGAACGAGUGGAAACAGGUGCGCACGCAGCCGAACCAUGUCAUCGCGGCCGCCGACAUCGAGGAGCAGAGUGCGUUGGUGGCUGCUAUGGAAGAGGCGGCGCGACAGCAGUCUCAGCGCGCGCGCAGCAAGGCGGCGCACGGAGCUGGUGGCGGCAGCAGCGCUGCUGCCGCCGGCUCGAACGGCAACAACGGUGGCAGUGCCGGCAACAGCACGCCCUCGGCGAGCGCGUGAGCACACGUCGGAGAGCGGCGCAAAAAGGGUGAACGACACGGUCAACGCACACGCUGGGUAGUGCCUUCCUUACACGUGUCAAGCAGCUCCAUCAAGGACGUCUUCACCUUUUUCCCUGAAUUUCUUUGUACCCGUGUCUGUCCCCAGCACUGGGUGAGAGGUGCAAGGGGUUGGCGACACAGGCGGGACGACAUCGGAAUGCCGCGCACGAGAUGGAGUCGUGUCGGGUGUUUCCCUCUUUUCAGACCUUUCUUUCGUUCUCGGCGUGCGUGCCUGUUGGAUGGACGUCCUCCUUUACUGCCUCUCGUCCCUCUGAGCUCCUUUUCGUCGUUCUCUGCCCGUGCGAGUCUUUCUCUUUCGUUUUCCCUGCGCCUCUUCUCUGUUGGAGUUGUCGGUAGAUGUCCAUGUGCACUGAGGUGGCAAAUGGGGGGAGGAGGAGGAGGAGGAGGAGGAGGCAAAGAGGGGAAGAGGGGGGGGGGGCUCCGUGGUGGUGCUGGUCGUCUGUGCAUCGUGUGCUUAUUCAUCUCUCGCUUCCUCACUCUCUCUUGUCUGGUGUUGGUUUCUUGCUCCGUCUUCGCUGUGUUGCUCAGCACGAGGGGGUCUGCCCUCUCUUGCUCCCUUAUCUUUUUAUACCUGUGUCUGCCCGUCUGUCUGUCUUCGUAUGGUUUGCUUGCCUGUGCACACUCUUCGUGUGUGCCUUCCUCUUGCUCUCCCCCAUCCCCUGUGCAUGUGUGAUCGUCUCUCUGGUGGCGAUGAGACUGCUGUUGACUCAAUGCGGGUGUGCGGGCGUGUGUGUGUGUGUGUGUGUGUGUGUAUUUUCUUUUUUGAUCAUGGAAGACACCCAUGUUGUCUUGGCUCGAUGCUUGCACGGGCCCUCUGCGGAGUCGUUGGUCCCCCCUCUUUCAUGGUCUGUGUAGCACUGCUGUCGUGAUCACGCUGGAUGAGGAGGAGGGCGACGACACCGGCGUGUAGGUCUCUGCAUCUGUGUUGGAAAGGCGCUCGUCGUCUCUCUAUCUGUAUGCCCCUUUUAGCGUUCUGUGCUGCUUCAGCGCCUUGGUUCCUCUCCUUUUCAUUUCCUUUGGUUUCGGUUCCGUCCGGCCGGCCGUCUGUCCGUCUCUCUGGCGGUGCCGUGCCGUGCGGUGCGGUGCCGUGGUGACGGCUUUUCGGUGAUUGUCUGGUGGUCUCAUGUGUGCGCUCACAUGCGCGCAUUCGCGCACCCCAUGCGCGUCGAGGGCACACAUGUGCACACGCACAUGCGCUAUGUUGGUUUUGUUUGGCAACAUCGUGAGUUGAGUAUGUAACAAGACUCGUAAGGGCAAGUGUG